GGAUGUGAGAGCGAUCAGGCUGUGACAUCUGUCACCCGAUUGAUCCCAGGGUUGAUUUGGGGGAUCUGGCUGGCGAGGUGGGUGUCCCCUUCCUCCCCCACCGCUCCAUGUGCAUCCCUCCCAAAGCUGUGUGCUCUGUGAAAGAGGGCGACCACCCUGAUGGAGGACAGUUUCCUUUGUCAAGUGUAUAUGAGUAGCUGCGCUCCCCUGCUAGAACCUCCAAACUCACUCUCAAGUACGUCCAGAUUUAGAUGGGGAGGCUGAAAGGCAGAACAGAAAACAGCUGCUUGCAGUUGCCAACAUUGAUACUAUUCUCAACAUUUUUACCAUACAAAACCUAUUUUGUCUAUUGUU
This is an unclassified non-coding RNA of Fukomys damarensis (Damara mole-rat), 354 nucleotides long. Its record names the gene 7SK. It matches the Rfam family "7SK RNA". From Rfam's summary of the family: 7SK was discovered as an abundant small nuclear RNA in the mid-70s but a possible function has only recently been suggested. Two independent studies have found that 7SK RNA binds the CDK9/cyclin T complex (known as elongation factor P-TEFb). P-TEFb activates transcription by phosphorylating the C-terminal domain of RNA polymerase II. Lineage: Eukaryota; Metazoa; Chordata; Mammalia; Rodentia; Bathyergidae. The record is from Ensembl.